RNAcentral lists this ribosomal RNA (301 nucleotides) under uncultured bacterium. Its description in RNAcentral is "partial 16S ribosomal RNA". It matches the Rfam family "Bacterial small subunit ribosomal RNA", at positions 509 to 807 of the family's 1533-position model. The record is from RNAcentral.
CAGCAGCCGCGGGAAUACGUAGGUGGCAAGCGUUAUCCGGAAUUAUUGGGCGUAAAGCGCGCGCAGGCGGUUUCUUAAGUCUGAUGUGAAAGCCCACGGCUCAACCGUGGAGGGUCAUUGGAAACUGGGGGACUUGAGUGCAGAAGAGAAAAGCGGAAUUCCACGUGUAGCGGUGAAAUGCGUAGAGAUGUGGAGGAACACCAGUGGCGAAGGCGGCUUUUUGGUCUGUAACUGACGCUGAGGCGCGAAAGCGUGGGGAGCAAACAGGAUUAGAUACCCCUGUAGUCCCUGUCUCUUAUAC